Bos taurus (domestic cattle) is the source of this 645-nucleotide long non-coding RNA. The record is from Ensembl. NCBI's taxonomy places the organism in Eukaryota, Metazoa, Chordata, Mammalia, Artiodactyla, Bovidae.
CUAGGACCAACCACUUAACCAAAGGGUUAGGAAUUUCCACCCUGAAGAGAUCCUGAAGAGAGAAUGAAUGUGGGUGUGGGAGAGCCCAUUCUUACCCACAGUACUCUGCUGGCAGCAGGUCAGGAUUCGGACACAAGUAUCAUUGGGCCAAAUUCAAGAUGUCAACAGGGCUGCUAGUUGCUCUAGAAGACAGUCUGAAUCCUUGCUUUUUCCAUCUUCUGGAGUUUGCCUACAGUGCUUGGCUUGUGGCCCCUUCCUUCAUCUGCAAAGUCAGCAAUGAGGGUUGGGUCCUUCUGACGUUGUACCACCCACUCCUCUCCCACUUUUAAAUACUCUCUGAUUACAUUGGGCCCACCCAGGUAAUUCAGGAUAAUCUCCGUACUUUAAGGUCAGAUGAUUAUCAACGAUCACUCUCCCUUGUAAUAUGAUACAUUCACAGGUUCCAGGAUGGAGCUAUCUUUGGGGCAGGGGUAUUAUUCGGCCAAUCACAGGACAUCUGGGAUAUAAAUAAGAAUUGUAAGCCAAGAAACCAGUAAACAUGUAGGAAAAUCUAAACAAAUCUUGUCUGUAAAAAAACAAAAUCUAAAUGUGGGUUAGAGAAAUGAUAGAACUAAAAUGUCAUUCUACAAUAAACUAUGGGCUGAG